AGAGCGAACGCUGGCGGCAUGCUUAACACAUGCAAGUCGCACGGGCAGGGGAAACCCUGUCAGUGGCGGACGGGUGAGUAACGCGUAGGAAUCUAUCUCUGGGUGGGGGACAACCGUGGGAAACUACGGCUAAUACCGCAUGACACCUGAGGGUCAAAGGCGCAAGUCGCCUGGAGAGGAGCCUGCGUACGAUUAGCUUGUUGGUGGGGUAAAGGCCUACCAAGGCGACGAUCGUUAGCUGGUCUGAGAGGAUGAUCAGCCACAUUGGGACUGAGACACGGCCCAAACUCCUACGGGAGGCAGCAGUGGGGAAUAUUGGACAAUGGGCGAAAGCCUGAUCCAGCAAUGCCGCGUGGGUGAAGAAGGUCUUCGGAUUGUAAAGCCCUUUCGACGGGGACGAUGAUGACGGUACCCGUAGAAGAAGCCCCGGCUAACUUCGUGCCAGCAGCCGC
This 452-nucleotide ribosomal RNA is filed under the name uncultured bacterium. Its description in RNAcentral is "SSU rRNA". It matches the Rfam family "Bacterial small subunit ribosomal RNA", at positions 26 to 518 of the family's 1533-position model. The record is from RNAcentral.